CUGCACUAAUCGGGGAGCUAGCGGUGCCCUGUAACCUGCAAUCCGCUACAGCAGGGAUGAAUUCCCAACCGAGGGUUGCUUCUGUGUCGUCUGACCCCGGUAAGCAGCGUUGACGAUCCGGUCCUGCGCAACGGAAACCCGUGAACCAUGUCAGGCGGGGAACCGAGCAGCAUUAAGCGGUGCUUUUCGUGUGCCGCGGGGGAGCCGGGUUCGAGCCGGCUGCCGGCGUAACGGACAUGGGGGGAGUUCCAAAGAAGGGUGUGCAG
RNAcentral lists this signal recognition particle RNA (266 nucleotides) under Oscillospiraceae bacterium. RNAcentral's name for it is "signal recognition particle sRNA large type". It matches the Rfam family "Bacterial large signal recognition particle RNA". From Rfam's summary of the family: The signal recognition particle (SRP) is a universally conserved ribonucleoprotein involved in the co-translational targeting of proteins to membranes. Lineage: Bacteria; Bacillati; Bacillota; Clostridia; Eubacteriales; Oscillospiraceae. The record is from RNAcentral.